RNAcentral lists this unclassified non-coding RNA (229 nucleotides) under plant metagenome. RNAcentral's name for it is "partial contains small subunit ribosomal RNA, internal transcribed spacer 1, and 5.8S ribosomal RNA". The record is from RNAcentral.
UCUCCGUAGGUGAACCUGCGGAGGGAUCAUUACAGAGUUCAUGCCCUACCGGGUAGAUCUCCCACCCUAUGUUAUUAUUACUUUGUUGCUUUGGCGGGCCGUUAGGCUCCGGCCCGACUACCGGUCCCGGCUGGUAAGCGCCCGCCAGAGGACCCAAAACCCUGAAUAUUAGUGUCGUCUGAGUACUAUAUAAUAGUUAAAACUUUCAACAACGGAUCUCUUGGUUCUG